UGCUCUUUGCUUGCGCAACAACUGUCGACCACUCGUCUAUUUCAUUUUUGCCUCAAGAGCAAGAUUGCUUUUUUUGGGCACGACCCUCGGUUCCUGCAUUGGCUACCCAGUGUGGAAAGCGUCGUUAGUUUUCCCUUUCCUCCUUGUGGCCUUUGCGGUUACGAGGUGGACCUCGAAGCAGUUCUCGUGUUCCGGACAAAGCUUAUGACAUCUGUCAUGGUCGUCUUGGCCCACGGGUCUUCUGCUAGUGCUCUCGGAUGUGGAAAACUUUGCGGACAAUGGGGUUCUCGCCCUCUGGUUGCUCCGAAUCAAAGUACCUCAACGAAGAAUGACUCUCGCAACCGCAUUGACCAUGUGCCCAUCGGGCCGGUGGGAACAAAUGCUGUCGUGARGUCGAGAAAGAAUGCUACCUGG
This 414-nucleotide unclassified non-coding RNA is filed under the name Poulsenia armata. Its description in RNAcentral is "partial contains external transcribed spacer and 18S ribosomal RNA". Lineage: Eukaryota; Viridiplantae; Streptophyta; Magnoliopsida; Rosales; Moraceae. The record is from RNAcentral.